Molecule: long non-coding RNA, 349 nt
Organism: Hypanus sabinus (Atlantic stingray)
Lineage: Eukaryota; Metazoa; Chordata; Chondrichthyes; Myliobatiformes; Dasyatidae
Exons: 3
Source: RefSeq, a predicted model, not a curated record
CAGCGCGGGGCCCGAGCCGGGUCCGUUAAAACCGUUGGGAAUCAGCCCCGGCGCGCGGCCGUUAAAGUAUGACUGUGCAGGUCAGCCAGUGAGAACAGCGAGAAGAGUUUAAAAGGAAGACAGAUUUACAGAGUGAGCGUCAGAGGAGCGGGAGACAGAGUAGGAAGGCUUUGGCUCAACGGGGCUUCGGCGAUAAAGGGUCGAGGUGAGGCUGAGCCAGUCACGAUGUAACACACCCCGCACUGGUCUACAGUCUCUAAUUCUCCGAGGAGCUGGUACAUGAACCCAGGCAAUUCCCCGAUGAUGUGCGGAAGAGCAGGAAGCUGAAGAGGAUGGCAGCGGUAACAGG